UGCAAACUGAAGAUGGCGACCGGCGCACGGGUGAGUAACACGUAUCCAACCUGCCGAUAACUCCGGAAUAGCCUUUCGAAAGAAAGAUUAAUACCGGAUGGCAUACGAAUAUCGCAUGAUAUUUUUAUUAAAGAAUUUCGGUUAUCGAUGGGGAUGCGUUCCAUUAGUUUGUUGGCGGGGUAACGGCCCACCAAGACUACGAUGGAUAGGGGUUCUGAGAGGAAGGUCCCCCACAUUGGAACUGAGACACGGUCCAAACUCCUACGGGAGGCAGCAGUGAGGAAUAUUGGUCAAUGGGCGCGAGCCUGAACCAGCCAAGUAGCGUGAAGGAUGAAGGCUCUAUGGGUCGUAAACUUCUUUUAUAUGGGAAUAAAGUUUUCCACGUGUGGAAUUUUGUAUGUACCAUAUGAAUAAGGAUCGGCUAACUCCGUGCCAGCAGCCGCGGUAAUACGGAGGAUCCGAGCGUUAUCCGGAUUUAUUGGGUUUAAAGGGAGCGUAGGUGGAUUGUUAAGUCAGUUGUGAAAGUUUGCGGCUCAACCGUAAAAUUGCAGUUGAAACUGGCAGUCUUGAGUACAGUAGAGGUGGGCGGAAUUCGUGGUGUAGCGGUGAAAUGCUUAGAUAUCACGAAGAACUCCGAUUGCGAAGGCAGCU
Molecule: ribosomal RNA, 651 nt
Filed under: uncultured Bacteroidales bacterium
Lineage: Bacteria; Pseudomonadati; Bacteroidota; Bacteroidia; Bacteroidales
Description: bacterial SSU rRNA
Rfam family: Bacterial small subunit ribosomal RNA
Source: RNAcentral